Molecule: long non-coding RNA, 750 nt
Organism: Wyeomyia smithii (pitcher-plant mosquito)
Lineage: Eukaryota; Metazoa; Arthropoda; Insecta; Diptera; Culicidae
Exons: 3
Source: RefSeq, a predicted model, not a curated record
AGCUAAUUCGCGUUGACUGCACUGUUUUUGACGUUUCGUGUGCGUGAAGCCAGUGGUAAACAAACGGUUCAUAUAAUUAUUAAUUUUUUGCAAGAUUUUGCUCGUUUUUCAGAACUUUUUGAUUACAAUGGCAUCUAACGAUGAAAUCCAUUCGACGUGCGCGGUGAAAUCACAGCUCGCUGACAUUCUUCAGUAUGUCGCAGGAGGAAGCAGGCUUAUAAUCGGAGGUGAACGGGUAUUCAAAGCCAACCAUCUGCUUCUCGUGGGAGUUCAAACUGUGCAUGCGGACGGCCUAUCCGUGUUUGCAACUUGCUUGAAAUCAUCUUCACCCAAGUCAGACCCACACAAAAUUUCUAUCCGGACCAGGCCGGUAUUUCAAAAUUGGUCCUUGCAUUGCUUAUGUAAGGCCGGGAUGGGAAAGUGUAAGCACGUCAUGGCUGUUUUAACCACCUAUUAAUGUUUCCUUCGAUUCCUUUACUAACUACAACAGACGUGCAGCAGAAAUGGGGUAAAAUUGCCGAAAAAGUUGCUGCUGAUAUAUACAAGGCCACUAUGUUAACUUCAUAUUGCAAGAAGUCGAAGAUAACCGAAAAUCCGUCUCAAGCUCAUACUUCUAUGGCAUCGGCUGCUGCACCAAUGGAUUUAACUAGAGAAGAAAAUGCCAAUAUUCUCCAUAUUUUUGUAGAUAGUUAGAUAUUAAAGCAAUAAUCAAAAUUGUGUGUUAGAUGUAACACUUCAUCAAAAAUUUUA